RNAcentral lists this ribosomal RNA (253 nucleotides) under uncultured bacterium. RNAcentral describes it as "partial 16S ribosomal RNA". It matches the Rfam family "Bacterial small subunit ribosomal RNA", at positions 524 to 776 of the family's 1533-position model. The record is from RNAcentral.
UACGUAGGCAGCAAGCGUUGUUCGGAAUUACUGGGCGUAAAGCGAGUGUAGGCGGUUCGAUAAGUUUGGUGUGAAAUCUCCCGGCUCAACUGGGAGGGUGCGCCGAAGACUGUCGAGCUAGAGUGUGGGAGAGGUAGGCGGAAUUCCUGGUGUAGCGGUGAAAUGCGUAGAUAUCAGGAGGAACACCUGCGGUGUAGACGGCUUACUGGACCACGACUGACGCUGCAACUCGAAAGCGUGGGGAGCAAACAGG